Molecule: ribosomal RNA, 405 nt
Filed under: Triticum aestivum (bread wheat)
Lineage: Eukaryota; Viridiplantae; Streptophyta; Magnoliopsida; Poales; Poaceae
Description: partial small subunit ribosomal RNA
Source: RNAcentral
UUGUGGAAAGUCAAGGUUCCAGCUAAAAUUAAGGUCUUCCUAUGGCUAGUCAGUAGGAAGAGCAUACUUACUAGAGACUCCCUCCUAAAGAGAUGAUGGAAAGGAGAAAAGAAUUGUGUGUUUUGUAGAAAAAAUGAAUCGGUAGAUCACUUCUUUUUUACAUGUUCGGCUGCAUCUGUGAUAUGGAGCUUGGUUAAAUGCUCAUUUGGGUUGGAAAAAACUCGUACAUCAAUUCAGGAAUGCUUGGGGGCGGUUGCUAAUAAAUUUAGGAGAAAUGAUAAGAAACUGGUUCUAGUGGGUAUCUCUGCCUUAUUUUGGGCUGUGUGGAAAUGUAGGAACGGAAUAAUCUUUGAUAAUAAGAGAACUACCGAUCCUAUGAGUCUGAUCAAACUAAUGAGCCAUUAG